RNAcentral lists this ribosomal RNA (305 nucleotides) under uncultured bacterium. RNAcentral describes it as "bacterial SSU rRNA". It matches the Rfam family "Bacterial small subunit ribosomal RNA", at positions 337 to 657 of the family's 1533-position model. The record is from RNAcentral.
ACCUACGGGACGCAGCAGUGGGGGAUAUUGCACAAUGGGGGAAACCCUGAUGCAGCGACGCCGCGUGGGCGAAGAAGUAUUUCGGUAUGUAAAGCCCUAUCAGCAGGGAAGAAGAAACGACGGUACCUGAGUAAGAAGCACCGGCUAAAUACGUGCCAGCAGCCGCGGUAAUACGUAUGGUGCAAGCGUUAUCCGGAUUUACUGGGUGUAAAGGGAGCGCAGGCGGCACGGCAAGCCUGAUGUGAAAGCCCGCGGCCCAACCGCGGGACUGCAUUGGGAACUACCGGGCUGGAGUGCCGGAGAGG